AACCAUUCUCACCUGCGGCUAGACCUGCGGAAGGAUCAUUACAAGUGACCCCGGUUUACCACCGGGAUGUUCAUAACCCUUUGUUGUCCGACUCUGUUGCCUCCGGGGCGACCCUGCCUUCGGGCGGGGGCUCCGGGUGGACACUUCAAACUCUUGCGUAACUUUGCAGUCUGAGUAAACUUAAUUAAUAAAUUAAAACUUUUAACAAUGGAUCU
Molecule: unclassified non-coding RNA, 215 nt
Filed under: soil metagenome
Description: partial contains 5.8S ribosomal RNA, internal transcribed spacer 2, and large subunit ribosomal RNA
Source: RNAcentral